UAGAAGCAGAGCUACCCAUUAUACC
This 25-nucleotide non-coding RNA is filed under the name Rattus norvegicus (Norway rat). Lineage: Eukaryota; Metazoa; Chordata; Mammalia; Rodentia; Muridae. The record is from RNAcentral.